CCUACGGGCGGCAGCAGUGGGGAAUAUUGCACAAUGGGGGAAACCCUGAUGCAGCGACGCCGCGUGAGUGAAGAAGUAUCUCGGUACGUAAAGCUCUAUCAGCAGGGAAGUAAAUGACGGUACCUGACUAUGAAGCCCCGGCGAACUACGUGACCGCAGCCGCGGUAAUACGUAGGGGGCAAGCGUUAUCCGGAUUUACUGGGUGUAAAGGGAGCGUAGAGGGCAGGACAAGUCUGGAGUGAAAUCCUGGGGCUUAACCCCGGAAUUGCGUUGGAAACUGUGCGGCUGGAGUACAGGUGGGGUAAGCGGAAUUCGUAGUGUAGCGGUGAAAUGCGUAGAUAUUAGGAGGAACACCGAUGGCGAAGGCGGCUUACUGGACUGUAACUGACGUUGAGGCUCGAAAGUGUGGGGAGCAAACAGGAUUAGAUACCCGAGUAGUC
RNAcentral lists this ribosomal RNA (440 nucleotides) under uncultured bacterium. RNAcentral's name for it is "partial 16S ribosomal RNA". It matches the Rfam family "Bacterial small subunit ribosomal RNA", at positions 338 to 795 of the family's 1533-position model. The record is from RNAcentral.